RNAcentral lists this ribosomal RNA (490 nucleotides) under uncultured bacterium. Its description in RNAcentral is "partial 16S ribosomal RNA". It matches the Rfam family "Bacterial small subunit ribosomal RNA", at positions 28 to 507 of the family's 1533-position model. The record is from RNAcentral.
GAUGAACGCUAGCUACAGGCUUAACACAUGCAAGUCGCGGGGCAGCAUGGGGGUUGCUUGCAAUCCCCGAUGGCGACCGGCGCACGGGUGAGUAACGCGUAUCCAACCUGCCCUUCACCACGGGAUAACCCGGCGAAAGUCGGACUAAUACCGUAUGCUGUCCAUUGACGGCAUCCGAUUUGGACGAAAGGUUUGGCGGUGAAGGAUGGGGAUGCGUCCGAUUAGCUGGACGGCGGGGUGACGGCCCACCGUGGCGACGAUCGGUAGGGGUUCUGAGAGGAAGGUCCCCCACACUGGAACUGAGACACGGUCCAGACUCCUACGGGAGGCAGCAGUGAGGAAUAUUGGUCAAUGGGCGUAAGCCUGAACCAGCCAAGUAGCGUGCAGGAUGACGGCCCUAUGGGUUGUAAACUGCUUUUAUGCGGGGAUAAAGUGGCCCACGUGUGGGUUUUUGCAGGUACCGAAUGAAUAAGGACCGGCUAAUUCCGUG